CCUACGGGAGGCAGCAGCAGGGAAUCUUGCGCAAUGGGCGAAAGCCUGACGCAGCGACACCGCGUGGGGGAUGAAGGCUUUAGGGUCGUAAACCCCUUUUCCCGGGGAAGAAACUGACGGUACCCGGGGAAUAAGUCUCGGCCAACUACGUGCCAGCAGCCGCGGUAAGACGUAGGAGGCAAGCGUUGCCCGGAUUUAUUGGGCGUAAAGAGGGCGCGGGCGGCUCGUUAAGUCCGGAGUGAAAGCCUUCAGCUCAACUGAAGGUGGUCUUCGGAAACUGGCGAGCUCGAGGGCAGCAGAGGGAGGGGGAAUUCCCGGAGUAGCGGUAAAAUGCGUAG
Molecule: ribosomal RNA, 338 nt
Filed under: uncultured bacterium
Lineage: Bacteria
Description: partial 16S ribosomal RNA
Rfam family: Bacterial small subunit ribosomal RNA
Source: RNAcentral